RNAcentral lists this non-coding RNA (24 nucleotides) under Arabidopsis thaliana (thale cress). The record is from RNAcentral. Lineage: Eukaryota; Viridiplantae; Streptophyta; Magnoliopsida; Brassicales; Brassicaceae.
AAGUAUGAACGAAUUCAGACUGUG